GAUGAACGCUGGCGGCGUGCCUAAUACAUGCAAGUCGAGCGAACGGACGAGAAGUUUGUUGCUCUGAUGUUAGAGGCGGACGGGUGAGUAACACGUGGAAAACCUACCUAUAAGACUGGGAUAACUUCGGGAAACGGGAGCUAAUACCGGAUGAUAUUUUGAACCGCAUGGUUCAAAAGUGAAAGACGGUCUUGCUGUCACUUAUAGAGGGAUCCGGGCUGCAUUAUCUAGUUGGUAAGGUAACGGUUUACUAAGGCAACGAUGCAUAGCCGACCUCAGAGGGUGAUCGGCCACACUGGAACUGAGACACGGUCCCGACUCCUACGGUAGGCAGCAGUAGGGAAUCGUCCGCAAGGGGCGAAAGCCUGACGGAGCAACGCCGCGUGAGUGAUGAAGGUCUUCGGAUCGUAAAACUCUGUUAUUAGGGAAGAACAUAUGUGUAAGUAACUGUGCACAUCUUGACGGUACCUAAUCAGAAAGCCACGGCUAACUACGUG
This 497-nucleotide ribosomal RNA is filed under the name uncultured bacterium. Its description in RNAcentral is "partial 16S ribosomal RNA". It matches the Rfam family "Bacterial small subunit ribosomal RNA", at positions 28 to 507 of the family's 1533-position model. The record is from RNAcentral.